UACGAAGGGGGCUAGCGUUAAUCGGAAUUACUGGGCGUAAAGCGUGCGCGGGCGGUUCGUUAAGUCAGCUGUGAAAGCCCCGGGCUCAACCUGGGAAUUGCGGUUGAAACUGGCGAACUAGAAUCUGGCAGAGGGGGGUGGAAUUCCACGUGUAGCAGUGAAAUGCGUAGAGAUGUGGAGGAACACCGAUGGCGAAGGCAGCCCCCUGGGCUGAGAUUGACGCUCAGGCACGAAAGCGUGGGGAGCAAACAGG
This 253-nucleotide ribosomal RNA is filed under the name uncultured bacterium. RNAcentral describes it as "partial 16S ribosomal RNA". It matches the Rfam family "Bacterial small subunit ribosomal RNA", at positions 524 to 776 of the family's 1533-position model. The record is from RNAcentral.